AAAUUGAAGAGUUUGAUCAUGGCUCAGAUUGAACGCUGGCGGCAGGCCUAACACAUGCAAGUCGAACGGUAACAGGAAGCAGCUUGCUGCUUCGCUGACGAGUGGCGGACGGGUGAGUAAUGUCUGGGAAACUGCCUGAUGG
This 142-nucleotide ribosomal RNA is filed under the name Escherichia coli. RNAcentral's name for it is "partial 16S ribosomal RNA". It matches the Rfam family "Bacterial small subunit ribosomal RNA", at positions 1 to 136 of the family's 1533-position model. The record is from RNAcentral. Lineage: Bacteria; Pseudomonadati; Pseudomonadota; Gammaproteobacteria; Enterobacterales; Enterobacteriaceae. RNAcentral also lists the same sequence under 29 other names.